AGAGUUUGAUCAUGGCUCAGGAUGAACGCUAGCGGCAGGCUUAAUACAUGCAAGUCGAGGGGCAGCAGGUUUGUAGCAAUACAGAUGCUGGCGACCGGCAAACGGGUGCGGAACACGUACAGAACCUUCCUUUAAGCGGGGAAUAGCCCAGAGAAAUUUGGAUUAAUACCCCAUAGUAUUGUUGAGUGGCAUCACUUGAUGAUUAAAGAUUUAUCACUUAAAGAUGGCUGUGCGGCUGAUUAGGUAGUUGGCGGGGUAACGGCCCACCAAGCCUUCGAUCAGCAACUGGUGUGAGAGCACGACCAGUCACACGGGCACUGAGACACGGGCCCGACUCCUACGGGAGGCAGCAGUAAGGAAUAUUGGGCAAUGGACGAAAGUCUGACCCAGCCAUGCCGCGUGGAGGAUGAAGGUCCUCUGGAUUGUAAACUUCUUUUAUUUGGGAAGAAACCCGAUUUUUCUAAGUCGGUUGACGGUACCAGAUGAAUAAGCACCGGCUAACUCCAUGCCAGCAGCCGCGGUA
This 523-nucleotide ribosomal RNA is filed under the name uncultured Bacteroidota bacterium. Its description in RNAcentral is "bacterial SSU rRNA". It matches the Rfam family "Bacterial small subunit ribosomal RNA", at positions 8 to 522 of the family's 1533-position model. Lineage: Bacteria; Pseudomonadati; Bacteroidota. The record is from RNAcentral.